This 501-nucleotide ribosomal RNA is filed under the name uncultured bacterium. RNAcentral describes it as "partial 16S ribosomal RNA". It matches the Rfam family "Bacterial small subunit ribosomal RNA", at positions 30 to 523 of the family's 1533-position model. The record is from RNAcentral.
AUUGAACGCUGGCGGCAGGCUUAACACAUGCAAGUCGAGCGGAGAUGAGGUGCUUGCACCUUAUCUUAGCGGCGGACGGGUGAGUAAUGCUUAGGAAUCUGCCUAUUAGCGGGGGACAACAUUCCGAAAGGAAUGCUAAUACCGCAUACGCCCUACGGGGGAAAGCAGGGGAUCUUCGGACCUCGCGCUAAUAGAUGAGCCUAAGUCGGAUUAGCUAGUUGGUGGGGUAAAGGCCUACCAAGGCGACGAUCUGUAGCGGGUCUGAGAGGAUGAUCCGCCACACUGGGACUGAGACACGGCCCAGACUCCUACGGGAGGCAGCAGUGGGGAAUAUUGGACAAUGGGCGGAAGCCUGAUCCUGCCAUGCCGCGUGUGUGAAGAAGGCCUUUUGGUUGUAAAGCACUUUAAGCGAGGAGGAGGCUACCUGGAUUAAUACUCUAGGAUAGUGGACGUUACUCGCAGAAUAAGCACCGGCUAACUCUGUGCCAGCCGCCGCCGUAA